AAAAUCACAACACUCACAACUCAAUUAAUUAUAUACAUAAAUAAACAAAAAUAUUCUAAAUGUCAUAGGUUAGGUUAUUAUUUGGUGUUAUGUGUAGCUCCUAAUAUUUUAUUUGUUUCUAUACAAUAUGAUAGUGAAUGUGGCGUUUUUGGAGUUUUUGAUGGCAAUUGUUCUGGAUUGAAUGGUUUACGUUUAAUUUGAGGGUUUCUACUAGCAGCCAGAUUUUUUCUUCCUCCAAUUUGGGUUGUUCUUCUAGAUCUAGAAGUGGGCUAUGUUCCAAUUUGUUUGUUACCAAUCAAUUUUGGUUUCUUGGAGUUUGGAUUUAAGCCGGAAUACUUCCCAAAUGUUUGCAUUGCAGAAGAAAGGCUUGCAUGGGUUUUUACAUUGUUUUGAAAUGAAUUCAUAAAUGAUUUAAUAGAUGGUAAACAAAGAUUUAAAUCCAUUUUUAAAUUAUUUUGAGUCAUUGGACAUAAACAGUUUCGGUCCUUUUUCGCUUCUACCAGCCAGUGCACCAGGUAAUAAUAAAUUUUUCCAUAAUUCCAAACCUUCUGUAAUUACAGACGUGGAUUCACUAGUUAAAAUUAUUGUUCCUAUAGGUAGACCUCCUACACAACUAUUAGAGUAUAUCAUGAAUACUUUACAACCAAAUCUAUCAAUGUUUCCAGAAGCAUCUUUGAAGAGUAUCUCUCCACAUUCAUCGAAUCCAUAGCUUAUACAUUUCAUUAACGGUGUUUGUAUAGCAAUAGCAAAAUUCUGAUCUUCAAGUACCUUUAUUGCCGCCAUAUCCGAGUUACAUUCUAUAUUGUACUCCUCGACUGCUUCUUUAAGAGAUGUCAUCAUAUGUUCGCCGUGUGAAUAACCAAAAUGUUUUUUAAAAGAUUUAUAAUAAAGAUAAUAUACCCAUUGUGGAUCUAGAAUUUCUCCACGAUCACCUGCAUAUAUUUAAUAACUGUUACCUUUUUCGUUUCUCAAUUGUGAUUUAAAUGUAAAUAAUACCUUUGACGGUGUUUUUCCUUCUUCGAAUAAUCUAAGAAACUUGGUUUCAACGUCAUUGGUAGGUUUUCUAUGCUUUAGAACUUCAGCUCUUAAAAUUUCAUGAUUAUGCAUAUGUUUUAACUGAACUUCAGCCUUUGUAGUCAAAUUAUUAGAUGACACAUCUUCUUCACUGCUUAA
Molecule: long non-coding RNA, 1173 nt
Organism: Aphis gossypii (cotton aphid)
Lineage: Eukaryota; Metazoa; Arthropoda; Insecta; Hemiptera; Aphididae
Exons: 3
Source: RefSeq, a predicted model, not a curated record